This 427-nucleotide ribosomal RNA is filed under the name uncultured bacterium. RNAcentral's name for it is "partial 16S ribosomal RNA". It matches the Rfam family "Bacterial small subunit ribosomal RNA", at positions 355 to 774 of the family's 1533-position model. The record is from RNAcentral.
UGGGGAAUAUUGCACAAUGGGCGCAAGCCUGAUGCAGCCAUGCCGCGUGUAUGAAGAAGGCCUUCGGGUUGUAAAGUACUUUCAGCGAGGAGGAAGGCGUUGUGGUUAAUAACCGCAGCGAUUGACGUUACUCGCAGAAGAAGCACCGGCUAACUCCGUGCCAGCAGCCGCGGUAAUACGGAGGGUGCAAGCGUUAAUCGGAAUUACUGGGUGUAAAGCGCACGCAGGCGGUCUGUCAAGUCGGAUGUGAAAUCCCCGGGCUCAACCUGGGAACUGCAUCCGAAACUGGCAGGCUAGAGUCUUGUAGAGGGGGGUAGAAUUCCAGGUGUAGCUGUGAAAUGCGUAGAGAUCUGGAGGAAUACCGGUGGCGAAGGCGGCCCCCUGGACAAAGACUGACGCUCAGGUGCGAAAGCGUGGGGAGCAAACA